Long non-coding RNA from Haliotis rufescens (red abalone), 530 nucleotides. RefSeq lists it as uncharacterized. The transcript has 4 exons. The record is from RefSeq and is a predicted model, not a curated record. Lineage: Eukaryota; Metazoa; Mollusca; Gastropoda; Lepetellida; Haliotidae.
AUAUCAUCUUCAAUUAGUUCCAACUAUUUUAUCAUCAAGCGUGUCAAAUAGGCAUGGACGUUGUGAAACAAACAAUGAAGACAUAUGGCACACAAAAGAGCUCGGCACAUGUAAGAGUUUACUGGCUAAAGUUGAUGGAAUAUUCCAGUGCAAACUGUGUCCAGAAUCAACGUCACGGCGGUACAAUGUCAAGGAAGGACACAUAAACAAGCACACACAACAUGCCGUCAAAGUUGGGGAUUUAUGGGUGUUAAGCUGCUUUUUGGAUUGUACUCCGAAACAAGACCGGUGCCAUUACCACUGCCCGUGUGGUAAACUCUUUCGGAGAAAGUUCACAUUUGUCCGACACACGACCACGGUUUGCCCUUUUGUUCUGACAACAAACCAGACAGCUUCUGAGGAAAGAACUUCAGCAGAGUCCCCUAACAUCCAAAAAGUGAAGAGAGAGCAAGUUCCGAAAGAGACAUGUUUUGUCUGCAAUGCAAUGAUCUCUAAGAAAAACAUUAAAAGACAUAUUGAGACACACAAUG